Papaver somniferum (opium poppy) is the source of this 4172-nucleotide long non-coding RNA. RefSeq lists it as uncharacterized. The transcript has 3 exons. NCBI's taxonomy places the organism in Eukaryota, Viridiplantae, Streptophyta, Magnoliopsida, Ranunculales, Papaveraceae. The record is from RefSeq and is a predicted model, not a curated record.
UUUUCCCUUCUUCCCACCGACACUUUUGAAGACCCCUUUCCUCUCUCUUCCCUCUACGACUCUCUGAACAUCAUAUCUUCAUGAAUGAAGAUACCGACAUAUGAAGAUAUCUCUUUCAUAUCUUCAUGAAUGAAGAUAUUCCUGACCAAAGAGUUAUGAAGAUAUCUCUUUCAUAUCUUCAUGAAUGAAUUACCAAUCUUACCAUAUGUAACAGAUGAGAUAAAUAAUAAACAGUUCCUUUACCCCCGAGGACGUAGGCUUUGCCGAACUACGUUAUAUCUUGUGUUCAAUUGCUUAUUUACAUUUCUCUGCAUCUCAAUUUCGUUUUAUGAUUUCGAUCCAUAUUUGGUCUUUUAGGUUUGUUUUAUCAUUUCAUUAUUUGGUUGUGCUAUCAAUUAAUGGCAGUAACAACUUGAAUGAGUUUCCAUUUGUAUACUCAAUUGGUUUGAUCCCAUUCGGUUUAUAUAUUUUCUGACAGCCGUUAGAUUUUUUUUCUCAAAUAUGAGUUUGCACUGGCAAGUUUUAGAUGUUAUUUUGUUCUCCAUAAAAUUAAUAACAAUCUAAGAAUUGAGUAUUUUUCACGAGCGAACCUCACUGAAAUUUGAUAUUCAGGGAAAAGGUACGACAACAGUCGAACUCUGCAACAAGGUAACAAUCAUGUGCGAGUCUGACUUAGUGUGACCCAGUGAGUGACCAGAUCCAAUUCAUACCAAACCUGCCCUCCCUGGUCGAGUUAAUAUUCUGGUUAGGUUAGAAUCAAAUAUAUCAUUGUUCUCUUAUUCUCUGGUGAGUUAAAUUCUGGUUACAUUCAUUAUUCUCUUAUUCUUUACGAGAAAAGUCAGUUGAUCCAUACUUUUGAGGACAUUAUGGUGAAGAUACAUUUCCUAGAUGCUGAUGCUAUCAAUAUCAAGGUAUGGUGAAGAUGCAUUCUUGGCCGACUGUUAAGCUAAUUUGAAGAACCUCAAAUGGCUGGGAAUGAAGUGAUGUUUCGAUUCAUGACUAUUACUGCCAAACAACUUUGGGUAUAUCAGUUGCCCAAGCGGUAAGCUAUAAUUGUCCGGCUAUUUUUUUAAUUUUUUUUUUCUCGUUAUAAAUAUGCCAUGGGUGAUCGACUUUACCGGGUGUAAGUUAGUUUUCCUUUCUUCUCUAUUUUCUUUUCUAGAGAAAAAAAAAAUCCAUCACCGAGUGAUUUGUAGUUUCUAUCUCUCUAAUGAAACCGUAAUCAUCAAGAAUUGGUAUUAUCGUAAUUUGAUAACCUUCACGAUAUUAUCGUAAUUUGAAAAAACUACGUCCAAUUUAAUCGACAUCUUUGCCAAUUAGACAAAGAUCAUGUGAUUAAUGGUUUCUAUUAUUUUAUUUUUUUGCAAGAAACCAUCAGUCAGCUGACUAUGUGAUAUUGAAAAUGAUAAUAUUUUUUUAAAAUUUGUCGACACAAUUUUGUUAAUGAUUUCUUUAUUUUUCUCAAAAGAAUCAUUUAAGUAAUUGCAUUUGAUUUUAUCCGUCGAUUAUAUAUGGAUUUGAUAUUGUUAUUACAGUAUAAGCUAAUUGCAAACACCAAUUGUUGAAUUCCCGAGGGAUGUUGUGCAAAUUUUCUUCUUCCUAAUACUAAUCUCCUAAAUUAAGACCGUUCAACUUGAUGUUGAAAUAUGGUAGGACACAAAAUAUCAAUGAGUGCGCAUCCGGCUUAUUAGCCAAUAUUAUUAGUCCUUGUAGUGACUAUAUUGAUCUUGAAUUUAAUUUAUUUUGAAAAAUAAAGUGUCCACAAUCUCAUGUCGUUGAGGUCAUGGAAUUAUUUGGAGAUUUAUUUGCAUAUUUUAUAUCUUUUUGGUUGUAACCAAUAAAAUCCAUGUUUCGUUCAAUUGUAUUUCAAGUGGAUUACAUUUUUUCGAAUAAUUUUUAAUGAUUCUUGGAGUCAGUAUCUACUGUCCAACCCGGUAUUGUUAAAAUCCAGAAAUUAUUCUAAGUAUUAUCGAAUUAAUCGGACAAUACUUUACGAAACUUGAUUUCGUAUAUGAGAUACAACUAUUACCACCAUAAUUAGGAGGAGACUAUAUACACUAUCAAAAGCUGAUGUUAAUUAACUUUAAAAGUUAUAUCAAUUUCUCUCCCAAUAAAUCAAAUCGAUAAAUGCUGCCAUUAAAUAAUAGGCGUGAAAAUGUCUCCUUUAGCUUUUCCAUAAGCUUAUUAUAUGACAUUUGAAAAGUAAAAUCCAAUCACUUCUAACAAGCAUGUAGCAUUUUAGUACAAUCUAGAUAGUGCUCUGAUAGAGUCUAUCAUAAUAUGAUUCCAUUCUCAUCAUUCAUAUCUCUUCAUUUGAAUAAUAGGAGAUUAUAACGCACGUGGGCGCUGGUACGAGUAAAUUUUGAAAUUAUCUUUUGAAAUAAUAAAUGAUGGUGGUUGUGAACCCCGACCUCUGCAGAGGAAUAUCGACAUAUGUGAUUGGUUGGCAUACAAUCCAAAUUAGAUUGAAUUCAUAUAAUUUCUCGAUUAACGCAAUUUUGGAUCCAAGACUUAACACCUUAAAAUUUCCAAGCCUAUUACUUACAGGUUGGUGUAGUCAUAAUGCGUUAUAGGAGAAAUAAGUUCGUUGUAUAAACGAUUUGAGGGUUUUUCUUUUUGCUCAAACCCUAGGAUUGGUUCCAUAAAUGUUCUUCUUAUAUGACACAUUUGGCGAGGUAGUCCUUGAAGGACUCGUAUGUAGUAGGGGAACAUAUCCAGAUUUGUGAUCCUCUUGGAAUAUUCAAAUUAUAUUCAGGCAGCCACCUGACUUGAUUAUGUCAGGGUUAGCAAUCCUUAAUGUGUUUUUUUAAAAUUUUGUACAAAACCAAAAAUCCGGAUUAGUUGUUUGAUGAUAUCAACUUUAUAGGUCUUUUGAGGAGUCCUUAAAAACACCAAAAUCCACACUUUUGCAGUAUAAGUUCUAUUUUCUUUUCUUUAUUAAAUCUGCAGUUAGAAUUAUGCUAGCAUAAACUCGUCUUUCAGAUAGACUAGAGUUAUUAUUUUGAUGCUUGUUUUAUGUAAUACUCAUAUAGAUGAGUUAGCAUCCAUAAAUCGUCAAAAGUUGUACUCUUUUCCCUUCGUUUCAGGUUUUUUCCCAUGUGGUUUUCCUGACAAGGUUUUAACGAGGCAACAUCUCGCAAACGAUGAAUUUUUAUCCAAAACGUUGAUAUUGUUCGCUUUUUCCCUCGUCCAGAUAUUUUUUUCCCAUUGGGUUUUAAUGCAAAGGUUUUAGUGAGGCAAUUUAUUCAACAUGUUGGUCAUCCAAGGGGGAGUUGUAUAAUUUAUGUUAUUUGGUGGAUUCCCACUAUUAACUAGGUCAUUUUAUUAGGCCAAAUCAACAUAACAAGCCCUUAGUAAUUUGGAAGUCAUUCCGAUCCACAUAAGGUAUGACCAAAAAUUCACUUUUGUUCACUUAUGGUAAUUUAUAUACAUCUUGGCUCUAUGUUGAAGAAACUACAUCAACAACUUCUGCAAAUCAUCUCGGGAAGCUAGCAAUCCAUGGCACAAGUUCUCAAAUGUGUUGAAGAAGAAUGUGGACUCCGCAAAAGUAUUAUCCAAGGCAUUAUUGCUUGUGCAACACAAAUGAAGACUUCAUCAACUAUCUGAAAUCUUCAUGAAAGCACAGUCCUCUUCUGCAUUCAAGAAAUUCAUUCUUCAAAAUUGGAAAGUCUCGACUCAAAGAUUUGCACGCCAUGAUUUGACCGAAGUAUUUAUCGCCAUCAUCAAAUUAAGAUGAGAAAAGGGAUCUUGCUUUCUUCUUUGGUGGAGAAGAACAACAGGUAUAAUCAGAGAUGUUGAGAUUUGUACAGUGCAAUCAUAACAAGGAUCCAAAUGUCAAAGAUAAUUUACAAGGUGUGAAGACUUAUAUAUUACUGCCCAUCGGAAUAGAAGGAAAUACACCACCAUCCUAAAGUACGCCACUAUAUGAUUCACGUUGUGAAUGUCUUCCAAUUGUUCAGAGCUAAUACUCCUGUCUUUUUGUUAAUGAUAAUGUGCUGGAUACUUCGAUGGAAGGAAAUUUUGCAAGCAAGUGUUUCUCUUUUUAGUGCUAAGGUAUUCGGGUUUAAUUUGUAUAUGAGAAAUGGUCUAUUUAGUACAAAGAUGUUCGUUGUGAAAAAAAAUAAAAAUGUAACUUCUAAAAUGAUAAUUUGUACUAAAUUAUUUUUAUUUUA